UACGUAGGGUGCGAGCGUUGUCCGGAAUUAUUGGGCGUAAAGGGCUCGUAGGCGGUUUGUCGCGUCGGGAGUGAAAACACUGGGCUUAACCGAGUGCUUGCUUUCGAUACGGGCAGACUAGAGGCAUUCAGGGGAGAACGGAAUUCCUAGUGUAGUGGUGAAAUGCGCAGAUAUUAGGAGGAACACCGGUGGCGAAGGCGGUUCUCUGGGAAUGUCCUGACGCUGAGGAGCGAAAGUGUGGGGAGCGAACAGG
This 253-nucleotide ribosomal RNA is filed under the name uncultured bacterium. RNAcentral describes it as "partial 16S ribosomal RNA". It matches the Rfam family "Bacterial small subunit ribosomal RNA", at positions 524 to 776 of the family's 1533-position model. The record is from RNAcentral.